This 73-nucleotide transfer RNA is filed under the name bacterium. RNAcentral describes it as "tRNA-Asp". It matches the Rfam family "tRNA". Rfam says of the family: Transfer RNA (tRNA) molecules are approximately 80 nucleotides in length. Their secondary structure includes four short double-helical elements and three loops (D, anti-codon, and T loops). The record is from RNAcentral.
GGACCCGUGGUGUAGCGGUUAACAUGCUUCCCUGUCACGGAAGAGAUCGCCGGUUCGAUUCCGGUCGGGUCCG